Molecule: ribosomal RNA, 507 nt
Filed under: uncultured bacterium
Lineage: Bacteria
Description: bacterial SSU rRNA
Rfam family: Bacterial small subunit ribosomal RNA
Source: RNAcentral
GAUGAACGCUAGCGGGAGGCUUAACACAUGCAAGUCGAGGGGCAGCACGAUCCCGAGUAAUCGGGAUUGGUGGCGACCGGCGCACGGGUGAGUAACACGUAUGCAACCUACCCUGUACAGGGGGAUAACCCGGAGAAAUUCGGACUAAUAUCCCAUAAUGAUAUUUGAGGGCAUCCUUGGAUAUUUAAAGCUCAGGCGGUACGGGAUGGGCAUGCGGAACAUUAGCUAGUUGGGAGGUAACGGCCUACCAAGGCAACGAUGUUUAGGGGACCUGAGAGGGUGAUCCCCCACACUGGUACUGAGACACGGACCAGACUCCUACGGGAGGCAGCAGUGAGGAAUAUUGGUCAAUGGGGCGCAAGCCUGAACCAGCCAUCCCGCGUGCAGGAAGACGGCCCUAUGGGUUGUAAACUGCUUUUCCAGGGGGAGAAUUUUUCUGUCGUGACAGGAAUUGACGGUACCCUGGGAAUAAGCAUCGGCUAACUCCGUGCCAGCAGCCGCGGUAAU